ACGCUGGCGGCGUGCUUAACACAUGCAAGUCGAACGGAAAGGCCCUGCUUUUGUGGGGUGCUCGAGUGGCGAACGGGUGAGUAACACGUGAGUAACCUGCCCUUGACUUUGGGAUAACUUCAGGAAACUGGGGCUAAUACCGGAUAGGAGCUCCUGCUGCAUGGUGGGGGUUGGAAAGUUUCGGCGGUUGGGGAUGGACUCGCGGCUUAUCAGCUUGUUGGUGGGGUAGUGGCUUACCAAGGCUUUGACGGGUAGCCGGCCUGAGAGGGUGACCGGCCACAUUGGGACUGAGAUACGGCCCAGACUCCUACGGGAGGCAGCAGUGGGGAAUAUUGCACAAUGGGCGGAAGCCUGAUGCAGCAACGCCGCGUGCGGGAUGACGGCCUUCGGGUUGUAAGCCGCUUUCGCCUGUGACGAAGCGUGAGUGACGGUAAUGGGUAAAGAAGCACCGGCUAACUACGUGCCAGCAGCCGCGGUGAUACGUAGGGUGCGAGCGUUGUCCGGAUUUAUUGGGCGUAAAGGGCUCGUAGGUGGUUGAUCGCGUCGGAAGUGUAAUCUUGGGGCUUAACCCUGAGCGUGCUUUCGAUACGGGUUGACUUGAGGAAGGUAGGGGAGAAUGGAAUUCCUGGUGGAGCGGUGGAAUGCGCAGAUAUCAGGAGGAACACCAGUGGCGAAGGCGGUUCUCUGGGCCUUUCCUGACGCUGAGGAGCGAAAGCGUGGGGAGCGAACAGGCUUAGAUACCCUGGUAGUCCACGCUGUAAACGGUGGGUACUAGGUGUGGGGUCCAUUCCACGGGUUCCGUGCCGUAGCUAACGCUUUAAGUACCCCGCCUGGGGAGUACGGCCGCAAGGCUAAAACUCAAAGGAAUUGACGGGGCCCCGCACAAGCGGCGGAGCAUGCGGAUUAAUUCGAUGCAACGCGUAGAACCUUACCUGGGUUUGACAUGGAUCGGGAGUGCUCAGAGAUGGGUGUGCCUCUUUUGGGGUCGGUUCACAGGUGGUGCAUGGCUGUCGUCAGCUCGUGUCGUGAGAUGUUGGGUUAAGUCCCGCAACGAGCGCAACCCUUGUUCACUGUUGCCAGCACGUUAUGGUGGGGACUCAGUGGAGACCGCCGGGGUCAACUCGGAGGAAGGUGGGGAUGACGUCAAGUCAUCAUGCCCCUUAUGUCCAGGGCUUCACGCAUGCUACAAUGGCUGGUACAGAGAGUGGCGAGCCUGUGAGGGUGAGCGAAUCUCGGAAAGCCGGUCUCAGUUCGGAUUGGGGUCUGCAACUCGACCUCAUGAAGUCGGAGUCGCUAGUAAUCGCAGAUCAGCAACGCUGCGGUGAAUACGUUCCCGGGGCUUGUACACACCGCCCGUCAAGUCAUGAAAGUUGGUAACACCCGAAGCCGGUGGCCUAACCGUUGUGGGGGAGCCGUCGAAGGUGGGACUGGUGAUU
RNAcentral lists this ribosomal RNA (1436 nucleotides) under uncultured organism. RNAcentral describes it as "16S ribosomal RNA". It matches the Rfam family "Bacterial small subunit ribosomal RNA". The record is from RNAcentral.